AGAGUUUGAUCCUGGCUCAGGACGAACGCUGGCGGCGUGCUUAACACAUGCAAGUGGUGCGACGAACCAGGGCUUGCCCUGGGGCAAAGCCGCGAACGGGUGAGUAACACGUGAGUAACCUGCCCCGAUGACCGGGACAACCCGAGGAAACUCGGGCUAAUACCGGAUGUGGCGCACAGAAUUAAGCCUGUGCGCUAAAGGAAGCUUCGGCCUCCGCAUUGGGAGGGGCUCGCGGCCCAUUAGCUUGUUGGUGGGGUAACGGCCUACCAAGGCAACGAUGGGUAGCUGGUCUGAGAGGACGAUCAGCCACACUGGGACUGAGACACGGCCCAGACUCCUACGGGAGGCAGCAGUGGGGAAUCUUGCGCAAUGCGCGAAAGCGUGACGCAGCAACGCCGCGUGGGGGAAGACGGCCUUCGGGUUGUAAACCCCUUUCAGGAGGGACGAAGGUUCACCGGUGAAUAGCCGUGUGGAUUGACGGUACCUCCAGAAGAAGCUCCGGCUAACUACGUGCCAGCAGCCGCGGUAAUACGUAGGGAGCAAGCGUUGUCCGGAAUCAUUGGGCGUAAAGCGCGCGUAGGCGGCCCUGUAAGUCCGUUGUGAAAGUCAAAGGCUCAACCUUUGAAAGCCGAUGGAUACUGCAGGGCUAGAGUCCGGAAGAGGCGAGUGGAAUUCCUGGUGUAGCGGUGGAAUGCGCAGAUAUCAGGAGGAACACCAAUAGCGAAGGCAGCUCGCUGGGACGGUACUGACGCUAAGGCGCGAAAGCGUGGGGAGCGAACAGGAUUAGAUACCCUGGUAGUCCACGCCGUAACGAUGGGCACUAGGUGUGGG
This 831-nucleotide ribosomal RNA is filed under the name uncultured Rubrobacteraceae bacterium. RNAcentral describes it as "bacterial SSU rRNA". It matches the Rfam family "Bacterial small subunit ribosomal RNA", at positions 8 to 826 of the family's 1533-position model. The record is from RNAcentral. Lineage: Bacteria; Bacillati; Actinomycetota; Rubrobacteria; Rubrobacterales; Rubrobacteraceae.